Molecule: ribosomal RNA, 676 nt
Filed under: uncultured bacterium
Lineage: Bacteria
Description: bacterial SSU rRNA
Rfam family: Bacterial small subunit ribosomal RNA
Source: RNAcentral
GAAACGACUGCUAAUACCGCAUAAGCGCACAGCUUCGCAUGAAGCAGUGUGAAAAACUCCGGUGGUACAAGAUGGACCCGCGUCUGAUUAGCUGGCUGGUGAGGUAACGGCCCACCAAGGCGACGAUCAGUAGCCGGCCUGAGAGGGUGAACGGCCACAUUGGGACUGAGACACGGCCCAAACUCCUACGGGAGGCAGCAGUGGGGAAUAUUGCACAAUGGGGGAAACCCUGAUGCAGCAACGCCGCGUGAGUGAAGAAGUAUUUCGGUAUGUAAAGCUCUAUCAGCAGGAAAGAAAAUGACGGUACCUGACUAAGAAGCCCCGGCUAACUACGUGCCAGCAGCCGCGGUAAUACGUAGGGGGCAAGCGUUAUCCGGAUUUACUGGGUGUAAAGGGAGCGUAGACGGUUUUGCAAGUCUGAAGUGAAAGCCCGGGGCUUAACCCCGGGACUGCUUUGGAAACUGUAGGACUAGAGUGCAGGAGAGGUAAGUGGAAUUCCUAGUGUAGCGGUGAAAUGCGUAGAUAUUAGGAGGAACACCAGUGGCGAAGGCGGCUUACUGGACUGUAACUGACGUUGAGGCUCGAAAGCGUGAGGAGCAAACAGGAUUAGAUACCCUGGUAGUCCACGCCGUAAACGAUGAUUGCUAGGUGUUGGUGGGUAUGACCCAUCGGUGCC